Molecule: ribosomal RNA, 475 nt
Filed under: uncultured bacterium
Lineage: Bacteria
Description: partial 16S ribosomal RNA
Rfam family: Bacterial small subunit ribosomal RNA
Source: RNAcentral
AGCGAACGCUGGCGGCAGGCCUAACACAUGCCAGUCGAACGAACCUUUCGGGGUUAGUGGCGGACGGGUGAGUAACACGUGGGAACGUGCCUUUAGGUUCGGAAUAACUCAGGGAAACUUGUGCUAAUACCGAAUGUGCCCUUCGGGGGAAAGAUUUAUCGCCUUUAGAGCGGCCCGCGUCUGAUUAGCUAGUUGGUUGAGGUAAUGGCUCACCAAGGCGACGAUCAGUAGCUGGUCUGAGAGGAUGAUCAGCCACAUUGGGACUGAGACACGGCCCAAACGGCGACGGGAGGCAGGGGGGGGAGCUCGGCCGCAGUGGGCGAACGCCCGACGGAGCUAGGCGGCGUGAAAGAUGAUCGUCUGAGGAUUUAAUAUUGCUUUCUCGGGGAAAAAUAAGACCGGUCCGCGGAGAAGAAGCCCCGGCUACCGUCGAGACAGCAGCGGCCGUAAUAAAGGGAAGAGCACCCGUCUGAAC